Molecule: ribosomal RNA, 495 nt
Filed under: uncultured bacterium
Lineage: Bacteria
Description: partial 16S ribosomal RNA
Rfam family: Bacterial small subunit ribosomal RNA
Source: RNAcentral
GACGGACGCUGGCGGCGUGCCUAAUACAUGCAAGUAGAACGCUGAAGGAGGAGCUUGCUUCUCCGGAUGAGUUGCGAACGGGUGAGUAACGCGUAGGUAACCUGCCUGGUAGCGGGGGAUAACUAUUGGAAACGAUAGCUAAUACCGCAUAAGAGUAGAUGUCGCAUGACAUUUGCUUAAAAGGUGCAACUGCACCACUACCAGAUGGACCUGCGUUGUAUUAGCUAGUUGGUGAGGUAACGGCUCACCAAGGCAACGAUACAUAGCCGACCUGAGAGGGUGAUCGGCCACACUGGGACUGAGACACGGCCCAGACUCCUACGGGAGGCAGCAGUAGGGAAUCUUCGGCAAUGGACGGAAGUCUGACCGAGCAACGCCGCGUGAGUGAAGAAGGGUUUCGGAUCGUAAAGCUCUGUUGUAAGAGAAGAACGAGUGUGAGAGUGGAAAGUUCACACUGUGACGGUAUCUUACCAGAAAGGGACGGCUAACUACGUG